RNAcentral lists this ribosomal RNA (92 nucleotides) under Pseudomonas oryzihabitans. The record is from RNAcentral. RNAcentral also lists the same sequence under 1 other name. Lineage: Bacteria; Pseudomonadati; Pseudomonadota; Gammaproteobacteria; Pseudomonadales; Pseudomonadaceae.
CCACCUGAUCCCUUCCCGAACUCAGAAGUGAAACGAUGCAUCGCCGAUGGUAGUGUGGGGCUUCCCCAUGUGAGAGUAGGUCAUCGUCAAGC